Molecule: non-coding RNA, 905 nt
Organism: Paramuricea clavata
Lineage: Eukaryota; Metazoa; Cnidaria; Anthozoa; Malacalcyonacea; Plexauridae
Source: the annotation of a GenBank genome assembly
GUUCUACAACACCAAAUACCUGGAUUCUCUAUUAAUUUCAUUUCAUAACAACAUGAGAAUAUAUUAAAUAUAAUAUCAGAAUUAGUGACACGUCGUAAACUGUAUUUUACUGUGUAUAAGUAAUGUCAAUUGUUAAAUACUGUAAUGUACAACAUACUACGUAUUGUAAUACUUGUUGUGUCGUAUUAUGUACUCCGUUGUAUGUAUUGUAUACUUUGUUAUCUUAUAAUCAAACUCACUUGUAGCAUAGAAGAGCCACUAUAUGGAAAUGCUAUUAAAUCAUUAUUAUAUUAUUAUUAUUUUAUUAUAUAAAGUAUAGUCUAAAAAUUAUAAAAGUGAUAAUCUCACAUGUGAGAUUAUUCAUGAUAAUCUCACAUGUGAAAAUUAUCGCUUUUCAAAUAUCGCUUUUCUGUACAAAUUAUUGCUUUUCAAAGACAGUCCUUUAUAUAAUAAACAGAAAAAUACAUGGGUGCUUGGAAAUACCAGAUUUAUUUCUCGUGUUGAAAUGAUAUCUCACUCGUUCGCUGCGCUCACUCGUGAGAUAUCAUGUUCAACACUCGAAAUAAAUCUGGUAUUUCCGCGCACCCAUUAAUUAUUCUCUAUAUAUUAUUAAUAUUUAUAUACCAUUUUCCGUAAACUCGUUAUGCAUAUUUGUGACGUAGAAUCCCUCACACAUAUAUCAAAUUAUUACUGAAAUAUCUCGAAAACGAAGUAAAAAUAGUCAUUCUAUGCUUAGUAUGCUACUACUAUAGUUUUUAAAAUUCUGUUGCUUCUUUAUAUAGUUGUCCAUAUAAUGGACAAUUCCCAUUAUAGACUAAUUUUAAAACUAGGCAAGGAGAUGCAAAUAAAUCACCACAGCUAGAAAGAGCAUACUAAAGUGGGUAAAAUUACAAAGUUUGGUUGCG